This 468-nucleotide ribosomal RNA is filed under the name uncultured bacterium. RNAcentral's name for it is "partial 16S ribosomal RNA". It matches the Rfam family "Bacterial small subunit ribosomal RNA", at positions 28 to 507 of the family's 1533-position model. The record is from RNAcentral.
GACGAACGCUGGCGGCGUGCUUAACACAUGCAAGUCGAACGGAAAGGCCCUGCUUUUGUGGGGUGCUCGAGUGGCGAACGGGUGAGUAACACGUGAGUAACCUGCCCUUGACUUUGGGAUAACUUCAGGAAACUGGGGCUAAUACCGGAUAGGAGCUCCUGCUGCAUGGUGGGGGUUGGAAAGUUUCGGCGGUUGGGGAUGGACUCGCGGCUUAUCAGCUUGUUGGUGGGGUAGUGGCUUACCAAGGCUUUGACGGGUAGCCGGCCUGAGAGGGUGACCGGGCACAAUGGGGCUGGAGUACGGGCCAGGCCUCUUAGGGAAGGAAGAGGGGGGGAAUAUGGAAAAAUGGGGGGAGGCAGGAUGAAGCAAGCCGGGUGGCGGGAGGCGGGCUUUCGGUUGGAAACCCCAUUUGCCUUGGGCGGAACGGUAAUGACCGUAAAGGGGUAAGGAGCACCGGCUAACUUCGUU